Trametes versicolor FP-101664 SS1 is the source of this 106-nucleotide transfer RNA. It matches the Rfam family "tRNA". Rfam says of the family: Transfer RNA (tRNA) molecules are approximately 80 nucleotides in length. The record is from Rfam. NCBI's taxonomy places the organism in Eukaryota, Fungi, Basidiomycota, Agaricomycetes, Polyporales, Polyporaceae.
GGCGAGAUGGCCGAGCGGUCUAAGGCGCCAGACUAAGGUCGUUCUCCGCAAGGAAAGCACUGAUAUCUGGUCCGAAAGGGCGUGGGUUCGAAUCCCACUCUCGUCA